Eriocheir sinensis (Chinese mitten crab) is the source of this 689-nucleotide long non-coding RNA. RefSeq lists it as uncharacterized. The transcript is spliced from 5 exons. NCBI's taxonomy places the organism in Eukaryota, Metazoa, Arthropoda, Malacostraca, Decapoda, Varunidae. The record is from RefSeq and is a predicted model, not a curated record.
UCCCAGGUCUUUCUCUGCCUCUGUGGUGGAUAGUGGAGUGUUUCCCAUGUGGUAUUGGUAUGCUGGAUAUCCCUUCACUGGUAGCCUGGUAACAUACACUCCCAGGUCUUUCUCUGCCUCUGUGGUGGAUAGUGGAGUGUUUCCCAUGUGGUAUUGGUGUGCUGGAUAUCCCUUCACUGGUAGCCUGGUAACAUACACUCCCAGGUCUUUCUCUGCCUCUGUGGUGGAUAGUGGAGUGUUUCCCAUGUGGUAUUGGUGUGCUGGAUAUCCCUUCUCUGGUAGCCUGGUAACAUACACUCCCAGGUCUUUUUCUGCCUCUGUGGUGGAUAGUGGAGUGUUUCCCAUGUGGUAUUGGUGUGCUGGAUAUCCCUUCUCUGGUAGCCUGGUAACAUACACUCCCAGGUCUUUCUCUGCCUCUGUGGUGGAUAGUGGAGUGUUUCCCAUGUGGUAUUGGUGUGCUGGAUAUCCCUUCUCUGGUAGCCUGGUAACAUACACUCCCAGGUCUUUCUCUGCCUCUGUGGUGGAUAGUGGAGUGUUUCCCAUGUGGUAUUGGUGUGCUGGAUAUCCCUUCACUGGUAGCCUGGUAACAUACACUCCCAGGUCUUUCUCUGCCUCUGUGGUGGAUAGUGGAGUGUUUCCCAUGUGGUAUUGGUGUGUUGGAUAUCCCUUCACUGGUAGCCUGGUAACAU